Molecule: long non-coding RNA, 308 nt
Filed under: Salvia miltiorrhiza (redroot sage)
Lineage: Eukaryota; Viridiplantae; Streptophyta; Magnoliopsida; Lamiales; Lamiaceae
Description: long non-coding RNA (SMIL_LNC009291)
Source: RNAcentral
ACGAUGAAUCACUCAAACUUUUUCCAGUCUGUGCGGAGUUCAGAAAUUGUUGAACUUUUUCCAUCUCUGCAACCAAAAUAAAGCACGAAUCAGAAGAUUGAGACCAAGGGCGGAGAAUUGGGAUAGUUACAAACGAGAAACUUCCAGAACAAACCUGCUAGAGCAUCAGAAGCAUCAGGCGCCAUGAAUUUCUCUUGUUAUUACUCUCUAUAAUCUAUCUAAUUCUCGGUUUUGGAAAGAUGAUUAGAGAAGAAUAUGUGAAAUUUGAGCUCAAGAGUAAGAGAAAGUGAAGCAGUGUUGAAGAAGGC